GACGAACGCUGGCGGCGUGCUUAACACAUGCAAGUCGAACGGAAAGGCCCUGCUUUUGUGGGGUGCUCGAGUGGCGAACGGGUGAGUAACACGUGAGUAACCUGCCCUUGACUUUGGGGUAACUUCAGGAAACUGGGGCUAAUACCGGAUAGGAGCUCCUGCUGCAUGGUGGGGGUUGGAAAGUUUCGGCGGUUGGGGAUGGACUCGCGGCUUACCAGCUUGUUGGUGGGGUAGUGGCUUACCAAGGCUUUGACGGGUAGCCGGCCUGAGAGGGUGACCGGCCACAUUGGGACUGAGAUACGGCCCAGACUCCUACGGGAGGCAGCAGUGGGGAAUAUUGCACAAUGGGCGGAAGCCUGAUGCAGCAACGCCGCGUGCGGGAUGACGGCCUUCGGGUUGUAAACCGCUUUCGCCUGUGACGAAGCGUGAGUGACGGUAAUGGGUAAAGAAGCACCGGCUAACUACGUG
Molecule: ribosomal RNA, 468 nt
Filed under: uncultured bacterium
Lineage: Bacteria
Description: partial 16S ribosomal RNA
Rfam family: Bacterial small subunit ribosomal RNA
Source: RNAcentral